GGAUGGUGCAGAAUCAAGGCUGUGCAGGAGGAUGUGGGAUGGUGCCACUUCAAAGUAAAAGGCAUGGCUUUGGCGACACACAUUUAAAUGAGCUGUGGGAAAAUAGGCACACAGCAGCUAUUUUUAAUUCAUGUUAAAACUUUCAGAGCCAGAGUUGCUCAUAGGUACUGGCUUCGGAUGUUGGAGAGGAAGGCUUUCUCAGCUGACCGCUAACUUCCUUGGUGACAGCAAGAAGGUGGGAAAGAGCCCAGGGAAAGUGGCAGGUAGCAGGGCCGGCCCGUUUUUCACUGUUUUAUCAUCACUCUCUCCAGACUCAGUUCAGCUUUGAGGUUUCCAGCCUUGUUCCUGUCCACACCACCCUCAGUCAGCUCCUUCAUGUAAUACUUCUCCUUCCCUUAAGGCCUGCUCUCAGGAAAAGAUCUAGAUGUCCCUUUCUUUGUAGACUGAUAGUAGCUUGAAUUCACCUUUACAGAAGUGUUUGUACUCUAGUGAGGCUGUUUCUCAACGCAAGGGGGGAGGCCUGAGCUGGACUCUGGCGUUAGUCUGCAGGUAUGGCCUCUUUCUGGGCAGGGGUCUUCCUGGCCCAGUGAAAGCAGAGUGUAUAGGCGGCUACCUUUCUGCGUCACUCUGACACACCCAGAUUCAGUUGGUGCUACUUAGAAUCAGGUUUUGUUUUAAUUUUUUGGCCACACCCAUGGCAUUUGGAAGUUCCCAGGCCAGGGAUUGAACCUGUGCCACAGUAGUGACAAUGCCAGAUCCUUAACCACCAGGCCACCAAGGAACUCAGCAUCAGGUUUUUAAAGCUGGGGAGAACCUGGUUAAGUUUUAUUCUCUUAGAGAUAAAGAAACUGAGACCCAAAGGGAUGAAAUCCUUCUCAAUGUGGCACUCGACUGCUGCAGCUGAUCAGCAUGCCAUGCAAGGUCAGCUUUGCCAUACUUAUUUGUUAAGGCUGGCAGAGGCAUUUCUCUUCUCUCUCUCUCUCUUUUAACAUUAGGAGGCCGUGGAAUCUACUCAAGCAGCUGGAAAAGCAGCAAAGUAUUCAUUUUAGACUCAUUUAGAGAAGCAAGCUCGGAAAUGCUUGGGCUGCUCCUUGCAACAAAUUUGGAUCCUCUUAAAAGCUUGUCUAAGCUUUAGCAUAUCCCCGUAGUGGGAAGUCUUUAAUAUUCACUGACGCAAGGAGGAGGUUUUGACCCUUCAAAUGUCACCGUACUUUUAACCGUAUAACGUAUAACCAAAUAACAAAGUAAAAAUACCUCCAAGUAAAGGGGAAUUAUUUGAGGUUCAAGUUUAGGGGACCAGCUGCUUUGGUGAAAUAAUCCACUCUGCGUUUUAGACUCUCUGGAAAAGAGACAUGAGGGAUGAGGGAUGGGGGCAUUAGAGUCUGCAAGUCCGAGCCCUACAGUCCACUGCUCUGCCUGGGUUCUCUUGGGAGAUGACUCAGGAGCUGGUCAGGGACCUUGGGCAGAGAACUGGUGAGAGGCACAGAUCACCUGUGCUGGGGUGUCAGCCCUUACUAGCUGAGGGAAGACAGGCAAGUUAAUUGACCUCCCUGUGCCUCAGUCUCCUGAUCUGUAAAAUGGGGACCAUAAUAGUAUCUCCUUCCCAGAGUUGUUAUGAAGAUGAAUGGAAAUGCACAUUAUGUUACACACAAGAAAAAGAUUGCUUUCACAAUCUAGAUUCACCGGAGAACUCCCUAUAGCCUCCCCCUUUCCUCUUCAUCAGGAGGAUCCACCAUGAGAGUCCCUAUAUCUCAACCCGGAGAACUCCUCAAUCCUCUGGAGUUGCUCUUUUCGAAUCUUCAAACCCAGGAUCUUAGCUGUCUAUUUUCUGAAGCUGUAGAGACAGCCACUCAAGGAACAGAUUUUCUAGAGGAUACUUUAUUCAAUUAGUUAGUCAAUUCCCUUGUAGAUGGGAAAUUAUCCCUAAACCAUCCCCACCAACCGAGGAGCCUCUACAGUGAGAAGCAAAGAUGAUGUUGAGAUGUAACAAUAGGAUACCUCAUUUGCAAUGCAAAUGAGCAACCAGCAGGCAAAUAAACCCUUAUGGGAAAACCACUCUAAUCAUAAAAACCCCUUGCUUUGGGGAGACUGCAGUGUAAGGACAAACAGAAUCAUAUCUUCCAGGCUCUUCUCCAAUACAGGAUAUUAAAGAAUUAUCCAGGUAGUUCUCUAUGAAAUUGCAUUUGAAUAUGGCAAAAUGCAUUGCUGGACAAUAGAUAAUAUCUUUAAAACUCCACAAUUGUGGACUGAAUUAUUUAUGGUUGUCACUAUAGCUAUGAUAGUUUGGAAAUAAAAUCGUCAGGCUUUUCUCUGUUUUUAUUUGUAGGAAAACAAGUCAUUCAAGCUUUUUAGUGAUACAAUGUGACUGGCUGUCGAUGGCAGUUACAAUUUUUCAAGCCCUGCCAAACACAGGAGUACCCAGAAGGGACAUAUGUUUUCUGUGCUUUGUGUUCCAAAUUCGCUUUAAAAACAUGCGAUUAUGUGAAGGCCUGAUUUAUAUUUCCAAGGAAAAGCACAAUAAUGGCUGUUUUGUAGCUGUGUUUCUCGAAAACGUGUUUCUAUUGCUGCCUUUUCAAAAGAAUUUGGCUAAUGAUCACUGGAUUUUCACUUUCCGUCAUGACGUAUUAAAAUUUGAUGAGGUCUGUGAAAUUUAAGAACUGAUUUCUUAAGUGCAGUGGAAAUGUAGUUAACAUCGUUUGGUACUGCAACCCUGGAAACAUCUUCUGUGGCUAUCUUUAAUCCACUUCCUUAUUUUUGUGGACAAUGGGAGAAGAAGAAGCAGGGGUAUUUGUAGCCAGGAGGCAAAGAGGGGAUAGAAUGACCAGGAUAACAAAGAGCAAACCUUGGAAGGUACGUAGGCCUAUAGGUAUGCAUGAGUGUAAGUAGAAGACAAGGUGUUGCGGACAUUUCCAGGGGACAGAGGGAUGACUCUGGAGAGGAAAGGAAAUUGUGAAGGAGGAAAUGAAGUUCAUUCAUUCACACUAAGCUGGAAGUAUAAGGAUUGUCCUUUACAAAGGCCAAAUUAUUGAGACAGUAGCUAAGAGACUGGAGGUGAGGCUGAGGCAUCCCCUGUGGUCUGUUCAAUGAACUCAGGAGAGGUGAUAAAAGAACCAAAUUCCUAACACCGUGGGUACCAAGAGCCUCUGGCCAUCACAUCAGAAAAUUUAGCCCAGAAAGAGUCCUCAGAUCAUUUCCCCCAGGGUCUCCUUGUGAUUCAGCUUGGGGUGAAAUGGAACGAGGAGCAGAGGAUGGGGCACGUGGCCGUUCUGAUGCACUGGACUCCUGUCAGGAAAGAGCAUCUUUGGAAUGCGAUCUGGCAAAACAUUUUUCGGUCUCCUGUUUCUGCUGUCAGUCCCAUUCCUGAUCUUUUCUCUCCCAAGUCAACGCCUAUUUUCUCCUUUCCUUCCAUGACCUGCUACUUCUUCCUUCCUUCCCGCCCAGUUGAGUCAAGCCUACCCCAGAAUUUGGGGCUAAGGAUUCAGUUGACUUGGAGGAAAGACUGGAAAUGAGGGUUGGAAUAUCCCAGGUGUUACUCGGAAGCUCACCUCUCCCACUGGCCUCUCAUAGAGAGGAAUUAUGGGUUUCCAGAAAUUGCAUUUUGUGGGCAUACCCUUAGCAUUAUAUGUUUUUAACUUAUUUUCUUUUUGCUUUGAUGAGUUCGAACAUCAAGUGACCCUUGAAGCGCUACAACACUUAAAUGCACUCUUUCAGGUAGGAACUGAGCAGGUGAGCUUCUAAACAUUCACUGGGUAAUUUGAUUUUCUCUUCGAUGGUUGGUUUUUUGGUGAAAAGUACAGUCCUUUUAGUUCCUAUAAAAUAGCAAUGAAGAGUAAAUUCUCUGUAAAUGUCACUUCUUAAUGGAAUUAGAAACAAAUUGUGAAUGCAUCAGAACAAAAGGGAUAACGUGUUAGAAGUUGACAGAGUUCAGGUAAGUCCAAUCAGACAUUCAGUUCUUUGGACUCUUGCUUUCAGACUAAACAAAAUACAGCUAUGUUCAUAGCUAAUUAUUCUCUUUCCAUCUUAGGAGUAUGAGAAAAGAGGAAGACAGCUGUUGGAUAUGGAGACUUUCAAAUGCAUAAUGAAGCAGAGCAUGAGGUUACAGAAUAAAAGUACUGAACAAAUAGAACAACUUUUCAUGAAAAUAGACUAUGAAGCAGUGGGCAGAAUUCAUUGGGAUGGCUUCUGCACAUAUCUGCAGUUAGCAUAUUCAGAGCAAGCUGAUGCUUUGGCUCGACAGAAAGAGGUUUCCUUCCAGCUGCCUGCUGUGCUGCAGGGACUGUCGUACGGGGGACCCGUGCUGCGCAUUCUCUCUGUGCCUGAUGACACCUUAAUCAUGAUCAGAGAAGAUGGAGCCAUUUAUUUCUGGUCCCUGCAGCUGAAGUUGAAAAGAAGAAAGCGAGUUUUUGUAUGUGAUUCUCAUUUGAUAAGGAUGCUGAAUGCUCCACUUUGAUUUUAUUUGCUAUUUUAAACUGCUCCUCAAGUGGCAUGAUUAUAGAAAUUGUGUCCUUGAAUAUAAUAUAUUCGUGUUGGAUUUUGCCAGUCUAUGGAAUGCAAAUAAAAUAUGAUCUCUAUAUGUAGUACA
This 4582-nucleotide long non-coding RNA is filed under the name Sus scrofa (pig). Its description in RNAcentral is "lncRNA (ENSSSCG00025039226.1)". The record is from RNAcentral. Lineage: Eukaryota; Metazoa; Chordata; Mammalia; Artiodactyla; Suidae.